RNAcentral lists this ribosomal RNA (253 nucleotides) under uncultured bacterium. RNAcentral describes it as "partial 16S ribosomal RNA". It matches the Rfam family "Bacterial small subunit ribosomal RNA", at positions 524 to 776 of the family's 1533-position model. The record is from RNAcentral.
UACGUAGGGCGCAAGCGUUGUCCGGAAUUAUUGGGCGUAAAGAGCUCGUAGGCGGCUUGUCACGUCUGCUGUGAAAUCCCGGGGCUCAACCCCGGGCUUGCAGUGGAUACGGGCUGGCUGGAGGCAGGCAGGGGAGAACGGAAUUCCCGGUGUAGCGGUGAAAUGCGCAGAUAUCGGGAGGAACACCGGUGGCGAAGGCGGUUCUCUGGGCCUGUACUGACGCUGAGGAGCGAAAGCGUGGGGAGCGAACAGG